AAAUUGAAGAGUUUGAUCAUGGCUCAGAUUGAACGCUGGCGGCAGGCCUAACACAUGCAAGUCGAACGGUAACAGGAAACAGCUUGCUGUUUCGCUGACGAGUGGCGGACGGGUGAGUAAUGUCUGGGAAACUGCCUGAUGGAGGGGGAUAACUACUGGAAACGGUAGCUAAUACCGCAUAACGUCGCAAGACCAAAGAGGGGGACCUUCGGGCCUCUUGCCAUCGGAUGUGCCCAGAUGGGAUUAGCUAGUAGGUGGGGUAACGGCUCACCUAGGCGACGAUCCCUAGCUGGUCUGAGAGGAUGGCCAGCCACACUGGAACUGAGACACGGUCCAGACUCCUACGGGAGGCAGCAGUGGGGAAUAUUGCACAAUGGGCGCAAGCCUGAUGCAGCCAUGCCGCGUGUAUGAAGAAGGCCUUCG
This 423-nucleotide ribosomal RNA is filed under the name Escherichia coli. Its description in RNAcentral is "bacterial SSU rRNA". It matches the Rfam family "Bacterial small subunit ribosomal RNA", at positions 1 to 420 of the family's 1533-position model. The record is from RNAcentral. Lineage: Bacteria; Pseudomonadati; Pseudomonadota; Gammaproteobacteria; Enterobacterales; Enterobacteriaceae.